CUACGGGAGGCAGCAGUGAGGAAUAUUGGUCAAUGGUCGGGAGACUGAACCAGCCAAGCCGCGUGAGGGAGGAAGGUACAGAGUAUCGUAAACCUCUUUUGUCAGGGAACAAAGACUGGGACGCGUCCCCGGAUGAGUGUACCUGAAGAACAAGCAUCGGCUAACUCCGUUCCAGCAGCCGCGGUAAUACGGAGGAUGCGAGCGUUAUCCGGAUUGAGUGGGUGUAAAGGGUGCGCAGGCGUUCUGAUAAGUCAGUGGUGAAAGCCCGGGGGUUAACCCCCGGACGGCCGUUGAAACUGGCAGUCUUGAGUUGGGGAGAGGUAGGCGGAAUGCGCGGUGUAGCGGUGAAAUGCAUAGAUA
This 360-nucleotide ribosomal RNA is filed under the name uncultured bacterium. Its description in RNAcentral is "partial 16S ribosomal RNA". It matches the Rfam family "Bacterial small subunit ribosomal RNA", at positions 339 to 696 of the family's 1533-position model. The record is from RNAcentral.